AACAUCGCGCACCUGCGGGAACCUGCGGAGGGAUCAUCAUUGAAUAGUCAUUUCAAGCUUUGAAGGCGGGAGGGGGGGGGAGAGUUCUCUCUUUCUCUUUCGUUCUUCUGGCUUGCAAACAACUUUGAUACCCAAAAAGAUAUUUUCUUUCUUGCUUGUCUCUUCAGUCUUUUUGCAGUUCCAGCUUAUUUACUUGGGCUGGUUGCUGUGAGAGGCGGGAGGGAUAAGGUGGGAAAGAGG
Molecule: unclassified non-coding RNA, 240 nt
Filed under: soil metagenome
Description: partial contains 5.8S ribosomal RNA, internal transcribed spacer 2, and large subunit ribosomal RNA
Source: RNAcentral